GGAGGGUAUGCCCAUGGUGGGCGCGCGGUGUCGAAUACCGCUAUACGGUAUCCAUUCCGGGAGUUCGAUUCUUCUACCCUCCGCAA
Molecule: transfer RNA, 86 nt
Filed under: Gordonia phage Bachita
Lineage: Duplodnaviria; Heunggongvirae; Uroviricota; Caudoviricetes
Description: tRNA-Ser
Source: RNAcentral